Non-coding RNA from Mycena latifolia, 95 nucleotides. NCBI's taxonomy places the organism in Eukaryota, Fungi, Basidiomycota, Agaricomycetes, Agaricales, Mycenaceae. The record is from the annotation of a GenBank genome assembly.
GGUCUGGUGGUGUAAUGGUAACAUAUCUGCCCUGAGUACUAGGGAAACGAAGUCCGUCUUUGCAGGAGUUCCUUGUUCGAUUCAAGGUCCGGCCA